GGAGGGUGCAAGCGUUGUUCGGAAUUAUUGGGCGUAAAGAGCGUGUAGGCGGUCGGGUAAGUCAGAUGUGAAAGCCUUCUGCUUAACAGAAGAAGUGCAUUUGAGACUGCUUGGCUGGAGUACGGGAGAGGAGAGUGGAAUUCCCGGUGUAGAGGUGAAAUUCGUAGAUAUCGGGAGGAACACCGGUGGCGAAGGCGGCUCUCUGGCCCGAUACUGACGCUGAGACGCGAAAGCGUGGGGAGCAAACAGGAUUAGAUACCCUGGUAGUCCACGCCGUAAACGAUGGGCACUAGGUGUAGGAGGUAUUGACCCCUUCUGUGCCGAAGUUAACGCAUUAAGUGCCCCGCCUGGGGAGUACGGCCGCAAGGCUA
RNAcentral lists this ribosomal RNA (371 nucleotides) under uncultured bacterium. RNAcentral describes it as "bacterial SSU rRNA". It matches the Rfam family "Bacterial small subunit ribosomal RNA", at positions 527 to 896 of the family's 1533-position model. The record is from RNAcentral.